RNAcentral lists this transfer RNA (76 nucleotides) under Xanthocytophaga flava. RNAcentral describes it as "tRNA-His". It matches the Rfam family "tRNA". Rfam says of the family: Transfer RNA (tRNA) molecules are approximately 80 nucleotides in length. Their secondary structure includes four short double-helical elements and three loops (D, anti-codon, and T loops). Further hydrogen bonds mediate the characteristic L-shaped molecular structure. tRNAs have two regions of fundamental functional importance: the anti-codon, which is responsible for specific mRNA codon recognition, and the 3' end, to which the tRNAs corresponding amino acid is attached (by aminoacyl-tRNA synthetases). tRNAs cope with the degeneracy of the genetic code in two manners: having more than one tRNA (with a specific anti-codon) for a particular amino acid; and 'wobble' base-pairing, i.e. permitting non-standard base-pairing at the 3rd anti-codon position. The record is from RNAcentral. Lineage: Bacteria; Pseudomonadati; Bacteroidota; Cytophagia; Cytophagales; Rhodocytophagaceae.
GGAGGAUGUAGCUCAGUCGGUUAGAGCACUAGAUUGUGGUUCUAGGGGUCGUGGGUUCGAGCCCCAUCUUCCUCCC